CUUUAGCCACCUCCCUAUGGAGGUCACCCCCAGCGAAAAUUCCAAAAUACCCCUGCUUCGGAAGUUCAUUUUCGAAAGCGUCUUUUUUUGAAAAAAUUGACUUAUUUCGGAAGUUCAUUUCCGAAAACAUUAUUUCGGAAGUUCACUUCCGAAAUACUGCGAUUUCUGCAGAUUUAUCAAAACACUCCCCCUCCCCCAAUCAUUUACCCUAAAUCAAAACAAAAAGUGGCAAAGGCGAAAAUUUGUGCAAACAGAAUUCCAAAGCUGCAUCAAGGCUCCAAUCACACUGCUAAACAACAUUCAAAAGCCCUCAAUCCUAACACUUUGAACAUGUCAGACAAUCAACCAGCACGCAGGACUGCGUCUUCUAGAGAGGGAAUGGGUGGCGCUAAGGGAAGAAAGGGUUCUUCAAAGAAGGAGGUGAAGGAGGUGAAGGAGGUGAAGGAGAAGAAGAAGGUUUUGACUGGUUCUGCUUCUCGUCCCCUGGGGGUCCAUGGCUCGGACGUGCAGACUCAGUCUUCAGGCGUGAUCAACGCUGAUGGUUUUGAUACCGAGUG
Long non-coding RNA from Vicia villosa (hairy vetch), 557 nucleotides. RefSeq lists it as uncharacterized. The transcript has 3 exons. The record is from RefSeq and is a predicted model, not a curated record. NCBI's taxonomy places the organism in Eukaryota, Viridiplantae, Streptophyta, Magnoliopsida, Fabales, Fabaceae.